Cyprinus carpio carpio is the source of this 913-nucleotide long non-coding RNA. NCBI's taxonomy places the organism in Eukaryota, Metazoa, Chordata, Actinopteri, Cypriniformes, Cyprinidae. The record is from Ensembl.
AUUCCAACUCGUCUUUGGAGAAAAGGUUCAGGGGCCGGCAUGGAGGGGUUCCACUACGAUUUUCAACCGCAGCAAUUAUGUUUAAAUUUCGAUCAGCAGUUGGAGGGACUGGAAAAAGCAGCCUCGAGUGAAGAUGUCUGCGGCUUUUUCAGUCACUUUGAGCCGGUGAAUAUGUUUCCAGGAUUGAUUGAUACCAUCACUCAGGGCAAAAGGAAAAAAUACAAACUUUGGUAGCGUGAGAACAGCAUUCCUGGAGCUGAAUAAAUCAAACGGAGACAUGCAGAUGACAGAUAGACCUUGUCCAGCAGGCAGAAGUUGAAUCAGAGGCAUUAAAAUGCACAAAACUGCUCUGACUCUGUCUUGUGUGGAGCGCUGUCUCCUGAGACAAGAGAGAAGCGGCCCUUGGAGAGUGAUUUCCCAUACACACCAGUGGUGUGUGUCCAUGUGGACCACACAGACAGCUAAAAAGCUUGGUUGAUUCAGGGGCCCCUUGCUAAUACGGAAUUUUAAGAGAAGCAUCUGAGAUCGAUACUUAAAUGAAACAUAACUGGGAACUCCAUUACAUCUCCUGAGCAAUGAAAGAGCAGCCUUUGAGUAAUAAAAUGUUCCUCUGGGAAGGUCCAAGAUGGAAAAUGAGAAGUAUGGUUGUAGAUGGCAUGCAGAUUAAGACAGAAAAAGAAUAAAAAAUGCUAAUGUUGACCUCAAUCCUCAAGAUUACUGCCGAUGCCAGAAUGUGCUAUAUCACUUCAAAGACUUGUGCAGAAGUGCUUUCUCCAACAAUUAUAACUCUCACUCAAUGUCUAUCUUUUGGUAUCAUCAUUGUUAUUCAAUCGCAGUCUUGGAAUGCUUGUGGAUGAACGAUUUUACUACUGAUCAACGUCUGCCAGAAGCAUCUGGGCCAGCAUAGCAAAGC